This 38-nucleotide small RNA is filed under the name Arabidopsis thaliana (thale cress). RNAcentral describes it as "ATSL003080". The record is from RNAcentral. Lineage: Eukaryota; Viridiplantae; Streptophyta; Magnoliopsida; Brassicales; Brassicaceae.
ACUACCACCAAGAUCUGUUAAUGUAUGCGCAACUCCAU